RNAcentral lists this ribosomal RNA (253 nucleotides) under uncultured bacterium. Its description in RNAcentral is "partial 16S ribosomal RNA". It matches the Rfam family "Bacterial small subunit ribosomal RNA", at positions 524 to 776 of the family's 1533-position model. The record is from RNAcentral.
UACAGAGGGUGCAAACGUUGCUCGGAAUUACUGGGCGUAAAGCGCGUGUAGGCGGGCUAGUAAGUCGGACGUGAAAUCCCUGGGCUCAACCCAGGAACUGCAUCCGAAACUAUUAGCCUUGAGUGGUGGAGAGGGAAGCAGAAUUCCUGGUGUAGAGGUGAAAUUCGUAGAUAUCAGGAGGAACACCGGUGGCGAAGGCGGCUUCCUGGACACUAACUGACGCUGAGACGCGAAAGCGUGGGGAGCAAACAGG